AUAUUUACUAGCAGGGGAGAUACCAUGAUCACGAAGGUGGUGGUCCCAGGGCAAGGCUCACCCAUUGCACUCUGGAUGUGCUGGCCCCUACAAUUCCCCAAAUGUCAGAAACUUGACUGCAUAAUUUGUGGUAGUGAGGGAAUGAGUUUGCACUUUCCCCUG
RNAcentral lists this small nuclear RNA (162 nucleotides) under Carlito syrichta (Philippine tarsier). Its description in RNAcentral is "U1 spliceosomal RNA (ENSTSYG00000021465.2)". It matches the Rfam family "U1 spliceosomal RNA". From Rfam's summary of the family: U1 is a small nuclear RNA (snRNA) component of the spliceosome (involved in pre-mRNA splicing). The record is from Rfam by way of RNAcentral. Lineage: Eukaryota; Metazoa; Chordata; Mammalia; Primates; Tarsiidae.